This 31-nucleotide non-coding RNA is filed under the name Rattus norvegicus (Norway rat). The record is from RNAcentral. Lineage: Eukaryota; Metazoa; Chordata; Mammalia; Rodentia; Muridae.
AUUUAAGGGAAGAGAUUAGCUUCUCACAAUA